Molecule: ribosomal RNA, 1964 nt
Filed under: human gut metagenome
Description: bacterial LSU rRNA
Rfam family: Bacterial large subunit ribosomal RNA
Source: RNAcentral
GAAAGUAAGUAAGGGCGUAUGGGGGAUGCCUAGGCUCUUGGAGGCUAAGAAGGACGUGGUAAGCUGCGAAAAGCUGCGGGGAUUUGCAAACGAGACUCGAUCCGCAGAUAUCCGAAUGGGACAACCCGGCAGGUAGAAGACCUGUCACACCGCGAGGUGAGCUAACCCUCUGAACUGAAACAUCUAAGUAGGAGGAGGAAAAGAAAGAAACAUCGAUUUCCAAAGUAGCGGCGAGCGAAAUGGAAGAAGCCCAAACCGAUAUUGUUACGGCAAUAUCGGGGUUGUAGGACUGCAAUAUUCAAUUAACAAUGAACUGGAAUGGUCUGGAAAGUCCAUCCAUAGAGAGUGAAAGGCUCGUACAGGUAAGUUUGUUAUGCGAUAGCAGUAUCCUGAGUAUGGCGGGACACGAGGAAUCCUGUCAGAAUCAGCCGGGACCACCCGGUAAGGCUAAAUACUCCCAAGAGACCGAUAGUGGACCAGUACUGUGAAGGAAAGGUGAAAAGAACCCCGAACAGGGGAGUGAAAUAGAACCUGAAACCAUACGCUUACAACCGGUCGGAGCAGCUUCGUGCUGUGACGGCGUGCCUAUUGAAUAAUGAGCCUACGAGUUACUAAUCACUAGCGAGGUUAAGUGCAAGGAUGCACGGAGCCGAAGCGAAAGCGAGUCUGAACAGGGCGUUUAGUUAGUGGUUGUAGACGCGAAACCUUGCGAUCUACCCUUGAGCAGGUUGAAGGUUGGGUAAAACCAACUGGAGGACCGAACGAAUAAGCGUUGAAAAGCUUCUCGAUGACUUGAGGGUAGGGGUGAAAGGCUAAUCAAGCUGGGAAAUAGCUCGUACUCCCCGAAAUGCCUUUUGGGGCAGCGUUGUAAUAAAGAGUCUACUGGAGGUAGAGCUACUGAUUGGAUGCGGGGGCUUCACCGCCUACCAAAUCCUGACAAACUCCGAAUGCCAGUAGUAUGAUUUACAGCAGUGAGUGACUGGGUGCUAAUGUCCAGUCGCAAAAGAGGAACAACUCAGACCAGCAACUAAGGUCCCGAAGAAUAUGCUAAGUUGAUCUAACGAUGUUUUGUUGCAGAGACAGCUAGGAUGUUAGCUUGGAAGCAGCUAUUCAUUCAAAGAGUGCGUAACAGCUCACUAGUCGAGCGACAGAGCGUGGAUAAUAAACGGGCAUCAAGCAUAUCACCGAAGUUCUGGGCGCGAGAGCGCGGUAGGGGAGCAUUCCAUUCAGCGUCGAAGCAGUUUCGUGAGGAAUUGUGGAGCGUAUGGAAAAGCAAAUGUAGGCAUGAGUAACGAUAAUGCGGGAGAGUAACCCGCACACCGCAAGACCAAGGUUUCCUGAUCAACGCUAAUCGGAUCAGGGUUAGUCGGGUCCUAAGGGUAAGCCGAACGGCGAUCUCGAUGGAUAAUCGGUUAAUAUUCCGAUACUAACAUAUACCUCGAUGGAGAGACGAAGGAACGUAAGUGCCGCCACCUGACGGAAUAGGUGGUUAAAGGGCGUAGGUAUAGGGGCAGAUUAAGAGUUAGUCCUUGCUGAAACCUGACAGUACAGAGAGCCUACGGGCAAUUUGAUAGAGCACCCAAGUCGACUUCCGAGAAAAUCUUCUAAGUUAUAGUAUAUGUUACCCGUACCGUAAACCGACACAGGUGGUCGAGGAGAGUAUCCUAAGGUGCUCGAGUGAAUCACGGUUAAGGAACUAGGCAAAUUAACCCCGUAACUUCGGGAAAAGGGGUCCCUAUGAAAGUAGGGCGCAGCGAAGAGGUCCAGGCGACUGUUUAUCAAAAACACAGGGCUCUGCAAAUUCGAAAGAAGACGUAUAGGGCCUGACACCUGCCCGGUGCUGGAAGGUUAAGAGGGGAUGUCAUCGCAAGAGAAGCAUUGAAUCGAAGCCCCAGUAAACGGCGGCCGUAACUAUAACGGUCCUAAGGUAGCGAAAUUCCUUGUCGGGUAAGUUCCGACCUGCA